RNAcentral lists this ribosomal RNA (504 nucleotides) under uncultured bacterium. Its description in RNAcentral is "partial 16S ribosomal RNA". It matches the Rfam family "Bacterial small subunit ribosomal RNA", at positions 29 to 523 of the family's 1533-position model. The record is from RNAcentral.
AUUGAACGCUGGCGGCAGGCCUAACACAUGCAAGUCGGACGGUAGCACAGAGAGCUUGCUCUCGGGUGACGAGUGGCGGGCGGGUGAGUAAUGUCUGGGGAUCUGCCCGAUAGAGGGGGAUAACCACUGGAAACGGUGGCUAAUACCGCAUAACGUCGCAAGACCAAAGAGGGGGACCUUCGGGCCUCUCACUAUCGGAUGAACCCAGAUGGGAUUAGCUAGUAGGCGGGGUAACGGCCCACCUAGGCGACGAUCCCUAGCUGGUCUGAGAGGAUGACCCGCGACACUGGAACUGAGACACGGUCCAGACUCCUACGGGAGGCAGCAGUGGGGAAUAUUGCACAAUGGGCGCAAGCCUGAUGCAGCCAUGCCGCGUGUAUGAAGAAGGCCUUCGGGUUGUAAAGUACUUUCAGCGGGGAGGAAGGCGAUGUGGUUAAUAACCGCGUCGAUUGACGUUACCCGCAGAAGAAGCACCGGCUAACUCCGUGCCAGCCGCCGCGGUAA